This is a long non-coding RNA of Heterocephalus glaber (naked mole-rat), 2208 nucleotides long. Lineage: Eukaryota; Metazoa; Chordata; Mammalia; Rodentia; Bathyergidae. The record is from Ensembl.
AUUUAUGCCAGUAUGAAACAUCUUUGAUCUGGUUGUCUAACUGCAUUUAAAUAUUUAGUACUGUAUUUUAAAUUUAAUCACUUUGCAAUAAAUCAAACCCAACUUUAUUUUCUCUUUUCCAAGAGACCAGUUAUACCCUUGUGAAAUGAACUAGCAUUACUAUUUUAGUUUGAUGACAGCUAAUCCUAAAACCACCUCAUUUCCCACCCUUCUAGAUACUGGUCUCUGAAAAUGCAUUUGUUAAAACUAACAGAUAAAAACCACAUGAUCCCCACCAACACUAUUGGAAGACUGCCUACUAUAAUAAUUUUCCUGAAGACCCAACCAGAAAAAAUUUGUCAGGAAAGAGGGACCAGGGAAGAAGAUAGCAUUCUCCUUUUGGCAGAGUAAUAUGUCUGCUAUCUGGGCAUCUUUCAGAUGUUAAAUACUACAUUAAUCUAGGUUAAUCUUUCUGGAUAUCUUUUUUGCAUCUUUCUUUGAAGCCUUAAGGGGAACCUGAUUGGUUUGCUGUAGCAGCUUCCUGGUGAAUUCUGUCAGAGCUGUCACAGCCCUGGCACUGCCACUCACUGUUUUCGAGGGAACUCUUCUACUCUCAUGUUGGCUCAAUCUCCCUCACCCCAACCCUGGGUUUGAAAAAUUAAUUGCAAAGUCCUAGGAAACAUUAUUCAACUUGAGAAUAAGCCUGGUACUCAUCUUUCAGAAACCAGAGCUCUGCCUGCUUGGUUAUUUGAAAGUUUUCUAAAAGAAAACUAAAGGAAUGCUGAAGAACAGAGGAGCAGCUGGUGAUCUGCUUUCUUCUUAUCCUAACUCUACAAAUGAGUUGUCUACUAUUUUAAAGAGUGGAGGUGUGUGGCUCUUCUAUAGCAGCAACCUGAUGUUAAUUUAUGACACAGGUUUUUGUUUGAAGGAGCCUUAUUUGAAAAUAUAUUUUUCAUUUAUUGUCUAAAAUAUUUAUAUUCUUUUCUUGCUUACUUCAGGGUUGGUAGCUUAGUUGAUACCUGGCAUUCAGUUAAAACAGGCUAUACUAGACAACUUUCAGCAUUUACUUUGAGACUUACAUAAUUUAUUUCUAGUUUGUGUGUACUAUAGUCCUGUGCAUACAUAGUUGAACGUGCAGUGUGAUAUAUGUCUCUGUGGAUGUGUGGCCUAAAAAUCUGAAUGUCUGGUGAGAGAGCUGUGUGUAUAAGUCAGAAAAGAACAGUUCUCAACUCCUGAUUAGUGCCUGUGAUUUGUUUGCUUUUGUGUUUAUCUGGCCUAGUGUGCUAUUCCUUUGAAAUAGGAAGAAGUCUUUUUCUUCUGGAAGAUCUUCUUACCUGUCCAGUCUGGCAUGUCAGAGAACACUUAGCUUGUAACAAUGCCCUCUGAAAAAAGUUUACUUCAUCUGCAGUAAAUCCAGCUGCUUCAACAACUCCUACACCAGGAUGGACUUUUCCUUUGCAGAAAUGGGUUCAAGAAUAUGCUCACUUUGAUAUUGGGUGGGCUGUUUCAAUGUGGGCCCAAAAUAGUCAAGAAUGGAAGAGUUUCUGUACUGCAAGCCAAGAAGGAAAUGAAAUAAGUGAACAUACUAUUUGUACCACCCCUUUCUGUUUGCUUAUUGUUGGUUGUUUUACUGUGCAUAAGAUUGUUUUCAAUGUAAUGCUUGUUAAAUAAAUAUUGUGAACUAUUUUAUAAAUGAAAUGUAUUAUGUUGAAAGCUGUCAGAAGCUGUCAAAAAUAAGCUUUUUUUGUUGAAGUUGAAGUGUGUUAGAUGAAACCAAAAAGUAAAAAAUAAGUGACUUCAUAUAUAGUACCUAUUGAAUAUAAUCUUUCUUUAAGAUUUCUUUUAGCAUAGCCUUUUCAGUGCUAAGAAAGACUGUAUCUAAUAUUUUGUUAUAAUACUGGCUUGCUAACAAAGUAAAUGGUAAAAGUACAAAGUGGGAAGGUGUCAAGAUAACUGGGAAGACUUGCUGCAAAACUGCAGAAUGGAGACUGCCUGUUGGCUGUCUCUCUCUCCCUCCUCUCUACAUCAAUUGCCUACUCUGAGGCAUCCUACUAUGGCAAGCUGCACGUUGGGGCACUCUUUUGGAAUAUUUUGACUGUAGUGUGUCACAGGCAGAAAAGGAGUUGAUUGAAAAUGGACUCUUGAAAACUGACAAGUUUGAAUCAGUGCUAGAGGGAACAGAUUGUGAAUUUUGUUUACAGCAUCCAAUAUUUGGAUUUUUUUUGUAAA